This 734-nucleotide ribosomal RNA is filed under the name Prorocentrum clipeus. RNAcentral describes it as "partial large subunit ribosomal RNA". It matches the Rfam family "Eukaryotic large subunit ribosomal RNA", at positions 41 to 657 of the family's 3401-position model. The record is from RNAcentral. Lineage: Eukaryota; Dinophyceae; Prorocentrales; Prorocentraceae.
UAUAAGUAAGCGGAGGAUAAGAAACUAAACAGGAUUCCCUCAGUAAUGGCGAAUGAACAGGGAUUAGCUCAGCAUGGAAAUUGGGGCCUUUGGCUUUGAAUUGUAGUUUCGAAAUGUACUGCCAACGGAGGCGCAGAUGUAAGCCUCUUGGAAAAGAGCAUCAACGAGGGUGAGAGUCCCGUUUGUCAUCUGCAGUCCCCCGUGUACGGUGUACCUUCUAAGAGUCACGUUCCUUGGAACUGGAGCGCAAAGGGGGUGGUAAAUUUCAUCUCAAGCUAAAUAUUGGUUCGAGACCGAUAGCAAACAAGUACCAUGAGGGAAAGGUGAAAAGGACUUUGGAAAGAGAGUUAAAAGUGCCUGAAAUUGCUGAAAGGGAAGCGAAUGGAACCAGUGUUGCUUGGUGAGAUUGCCGCGUGUUAACGUGAUAGCUUGCUGCAUCAACGCAAGUGUUGCAGGGAGUGUUGAUCGGGAUGUGCGCGGUGUCUCUUGCCUUGUGUGUCAGCACCAGUUUGCAAUCGAGGAAAACUCCAAGGACAUGGUAGUUUGCCCUCGGGUGAGCGAAUGUGUUUGGUUAGAACUCGUUUGUGAAUUGAUUCAGCAGUGUCCGGUUGCAGUGCCCUGUGUCAUCGGCAGUCCCUGGGCGGCUCUGCUGCUUCUCUGGAUGGAGCCGUCGACUCGUGGCAAAUCCCUGACAUGCAGAUGAGGACAACAUGGUUCUAUUCGACCCGUCUUGA